This 313-nucleotide long non-coding RNA is filed under the name Homo sapiens (human). RNAcentral describes it as "HSALNT0152748". The record is from RNAcentral. Lineage: Eukaryota; Metazoa; Chordata; Mammalia; Primates; Hominidae.
GGAGGAGAAGGAGGCACAGGAAGAGCAAGAGAGUUUAUCUGUGGGUGAGACUUCGAGCUGGCUUCUUCGAGCACCUUGAGAAGUGGUUUGACCAGUGUUCCCUCAACACCCGGGUCACCGUGGCCACCAAAAUCAAUGAGCUGGAUUCAGAACUGGAGCUGCAUCUGCACCUGCACCAGCCAAGAGCCCAGCAGAUUGAAAAAGACAUCCACAACGUCAGGGCAGGUACAGAUGCUGCCUGGGAAUGUCUGCCCUGCCCGCAGCCACUCCUUCAGCGUCUGCUCCACCGCGGCUCCAUGUUCAUUAGCUGCCC